Molecule: long non-coding RNA, 771 nt
Filed under: Vulpes vulpes (red fox)
Lineage: Eukaryota; Metazoa; Chordata; Mammalia; Carnivora; Canidae
Description: lncRNA (ENSVVUG00000009539.1)
Source: RNAcentral
UGGAAAAUUCCAUCUCUCCCCAAUGCAUCUUAAAAUUGUCACUUGCUUGAUUUUGUUUUGUUUUAAGAUUCUAUUUAUUCAUGAGAGACACAGAGAGAGAGAGAGGCAGAGACAGAGGAAGAGGGAGAAACAGGCUCCAAGGAGAGAGCCCAAUGCGGGGCUCCAUCCCAGGACUCCAGGAUCACACCCUGAGCCAAAGGUAGAAGCGCAACCACUGAGCCACCCAGGCGUCCCUCACUUGCUUGAUUUUGGAUGGAGUCUUACACUCCAGGCUGUAGAAGCACAUGAACUUACUAUGUUUGGCCUCAGGAUGAGAUGCAGCACACUGACAUGCUCAAUAUCUGCUGAACAGAUGGACGGAGAUAUAAAACCAAAACCUGGGCACCUCACCUGCAAGGAGACCUUCAGCCUUCAAGAGCAGCCAUGGCUCGUGAUCCCAAGAAGCAUCUGAAGCAUGUAGCCGAUUCGAAGCAUUGGAAGCUGGAUAAACUGGCCAGUGUGUUUGCCCUCAUUCAUCUACUAACCUCCCUAAGCUGAGAGAAUGUCUCCCUCUCAUCUUUUUCUGAGGAACAGACUUAAGUAUGUCCUAACAGGAGGUGAAGUAAAGAUCUGUAUUGCACCAUUUUAUUAAGAUUGAUGGCAAAGUCUGAACUGAUAUAACCUACCCUGCUGGUUUUAUGGAUGUCGUCAGCAUUGACAAGACUGGGGAGAAUUUCCAACUGAUCUAUGAUACCAACGGUUGCUUUGCUCCUCAUCAGAUUACACCUGAGG